CUAAAGAGUAAGAGGAAAAGAUAGUCUCUAAGAGCAUGGGAAUAGGAUCAUGGAGGAAAUCUAGAGCUCGCUUUCUCCUCUAGUAUCGGAGGUAGAAAUUUUCUUUAUGUUUUCCCGAUGCCUCCUAUUCCUAUAGAUCUUAGGUACUCCUUCCUCUUUCUUCCGGCU
Molecule: non-coding RNA, 168 nt
Organism: Triticum aestivum (bread wheat)
Lineage: Eukaryota; Viridiplantae; Streptophyta; Magnoliopsida; Poales; Poaceae
Source: Rfam